AUGGUAGGAGAGACACGCUGCACCUCUGGCUGGUCCAGGUGGCUGUGGAGCUAUGCAGACAGCUGGUGUGCUGCGAGAGAACGGCGAGAGAACUGUCUGCACGUGCUCAGGGCAGAUGCAGUGUUCUGGACAUGUUCUACCCACAGCUGGAGAAUCUGUGGCUGCAGAACGGCUGUGUGGUCUUUGGGACGGUGUCGAAGAGGUGAUAAUAUUGAGGUGUGCGCUCAGGGUGCCACCGCACUCCCCGCAACAGACGCCCUAAGUGCAUUCCUGUGGGCACCAAGCUCGGAUGGGCACGGGCGCUGGCUGAGAAGCCAUGUGCUUCACCCCACACAGUGGAGGAGCAGGACGGGUGGGCAGCCUGCAGCAUGGCUGAGACCCCUCACUCCAGACAAGGGGCGCAGGGCGGCCUCAACCCAAGAGGAAGAAUGGAGAAGCCGGGACACGGCCUGCAGCCCUGACCAGCCCGGGCCGUCCGUCGGGGAGCGAUGGGGUGCAGGAGAGCUCCUGGAGGUUCCAAUGGACGGACUUGCUGUGGGAGACUGAGUCCAAGUCAGGAGGGGAUCACUUUUUUUUUUUUUUAUUUUAAAGAGAAAAAGAAUAAAAUUUGAAAACAAGAUAAUAGGAAAGCAAAAAUGGUUAAUACAUUGUGUAUUGUUAUCUUUAAAUUACUUAGAGUACAAGAUACAGGCAUUUAAUUAUCUAAACAAUAUUAACACAAACCUUCCUUUUCAAUGAACUAAGAGAAAUUAGUAGUAUAACUAUCUUAACUCUCUUCUGUAUAUAAUAUAUAUACAUAUAUGUAUAUAUAUAUUCUAACUUUCUCCUUCCUUCUUUUCUUCUUUCCCCCAUCCCAGUUUCUCUUUCCUUUUGAACAGUUUCUUCCUAUUUCACAAUUACCUAUUGCACAUUCUGGAUCUUAUUUACUCUUUU
RNAcentral lists this long non-coding RNA (933 nucleotides) under Chinchilla lanigera (long-tailed chinchilla). RNAcentral describes it as "lncRNA (ENSCLAG00000025948.1)". The record is from RNAcentral. Lineage: Eukaryota; Metazoa; Chordata; Mammalia; Rodentia; Chinchillidae.